Molecule: ribosomal RNA, 440 nt
Filed under: uncultured bacterium
Lineage: Bacteria
Description: bacterial SSU rRNA
Rfam family: Bacterial small subunit ribosomal RNA
Source: RNAcentral
UGGCGACCGGCGCGACGGGUGAGUAACGCGUACUACCAACCCUUCCCCUUAAGGUAGGGCAUACGCCCGGUAGAAAAUCGGAUUAAUACCCUAUGUUGUGUCAUGAGGACAUCUGAAUAACAACUAAAGAUUUAUCGCGUAAGGGAGUGGGAUGCGUCCGAUUAGGUAGUCGGCGGGUAACGGCCCACCGAGCCCUCGAUCGGUAGGGGUUCUGAGAGGAAGGUCCCCCACACUGGUACUGAGACACGGACCAGACUCCUACGGGAGGCAGCAGUGAGGAAUAUUGGUCAAUGGGCGCGAGCCUGAACCAGCCAAGUAGCGUGCAGGAUGACGGCCCUAUGGGUUGUAAACUGCUUUUAUACGGGGAUAAAGUGAGGGACGUGUCCCUUAUUGUAGGUACCGUAUGAAUAAGGACCGGCUAAUUCCGUGCCAGCCGCAGC